Molecule: ribosomal RNA, 403 nt
Filed under: uncultured bacterium
Lineage: Bacteria
Description: partial 16S ribosomal RNA
Rfam family: Bacterial small subunit ribosomal RNA
Source: RNAcentral
GACGAACGCUGGCGGCGUGCCUAAUACAUGCAAGUCGAACGCAGUGGGGACGGGUUAUUAACACGUGGGUAACCUACCAUCAGAGGGGGUAACACUUGGAAACAGGUGCUAAACCGAUACUGAUGGAUGGACCCGCUGUGGAGUAGCUAGUUGGUGGGGUAACGGCUCACCAAGGCCACGAUGCUUAGCUGAUCUGAGAGGAUGACCAGCCACACUGGAACUGAGACACGGCCCAGACUCCUACGGGAGGCAGCAGUGGGGAAUCUUCGGCAAGGGGCGAAAGUCUGACCGAGCAAUGCCGCGUGUGUGAAGAAGGCUUUCGGAUCGUAAAACUCGUUUGUUAGGGAAGCGGUAUCUAACCAGGAAGCACCGGCUAACUCCGUGCCAGCAGCCGCGGUAAUUC